RNAcentral lists this ribosomal RNA (253 nucleotides) under uncultured bacterium. RNAcentral describes it as "partial 16S ribosomal RNA". It matches the Rfam family "Bacterial small subunit ribosomal RNA", at positions 524 to 776 of the family's 1533-position model. The record is from RNAcentral.
UACGGAGGGUGCAAGCGUUAUCCGGAUUUACUGGGUUUAAAGGGUGCGUAGGCGGGCUUUUAGGUCAGCGGUGAAAGCUUCGAGCUUAACUCGGAAAUUGCCGUUGAUACUAUUAGUCUUGAAUUAAGUUGAGGUGGGCGGAAUAUGUCAUGUAGCGGUGAAAUGCUUAGAUAUGACAUAGAACACCGAUUGCGAAGGCAGCUCGCUAAACUUAUAUUGACGCUGAGGCACGAAAGCGUGGGGAUCAAACAGG